UACGAUACCACGUUCUUCGGAGAGAGAGAGGAGAGAGAGGCGAAGAUGCUCGAGGUGGUGCUGAACGAUCGGCUGGGGAAGAAGGUGCGAGUGAAGUGCAACGAGGACGACACGAUCGGCGACCUGAAGAAGCUGGUGGCGGCGCAGACGGGCACCCGCGCCGACAAGAUCCGCAUCCAGAAGUGGUACACCGUCUAUAAGGAUCACAUCACCCUUAAGGACUACGAGAUCCAUGACGGCAUGGGCCUCGAGCUCUACUACAACUGAAUCGAAAGGUUGGUUGAUUGGUUGAUCCACAAUUCAAUAGCUGAAUACAGUACGACUUGGUGAAAUCACAAUGUUUUCGGGUCGGUCAAUCCAUGAUAAUUGGCAGUUGUACAUUCUGGUGACUCUGGUAAAACAUCACGACUUUGCCAAGAUUGGACGUUUCGAUUCCAAUUCAGAACAGAGAAACUUGUUGUAUAUGUGAGGACCAAGAAGUUAGCAUACAGGAAAGUAAAGAAGAAAGAUGGAAUACAUGGAGAGGUAAGAGUGAUGAUACUCGAGCAAAAGGCGAGAAAAAGAAGAAAAGAUGUAUAGUGACCUUAAUCCAUUCUUCUCACGAUUUGUUGGUCAAUCUUUUCAGACAUAUAUUAGUCUGUGAUCAACGUGAAUAUUCUACAAACAAAGAUGAGAAAUGAAGGAGCAAAUUCCACAUGGCGGCCUAACAAUCUCAUUCAUGACUUUGCAUGCCUACCAAAAAGAAUGUUCGUUCGUCCUUCAAGUCCACGCAUGCUGUUCCUUUCAUGCCUAAAUCACCUGUACUAUAUACUUCCGAGAUUUCUCAAUCUUAAACCAAUUCAAAGUUUCAAAGA
Musa acuminata AAA Group (dessert banana) is the source of this 854-nucleotide RNA transcript. It is a transcript of the gene named ubiquitin-like protein 5, with no coding region annotated. The transcript is spliced from 3 exons. The record is from RefSeq and is a predicted model, not a curated record. Lineage: Eukaryota; Viridiplantae; Streptophyta; Magnoliopsida; Zingiberales; Musaceae.